Molecule: long non-coding RNA, 1286 nt
Organism: Cyclopterus lumpus (lumpfish)
Lineage: Eukaryota; Metazoa; Chordata; Actinopteri; Perciformes; Cyclopteridae
Exons: 3
Source: RefSeq, a predicted model, not a curated record
AAACCCUCCGUCGUGUGUGGAAUCCCGGAGUGGCUUUCAAGCUGAUGAGUAACCCCUGCGAACACUGGGAAGCCCGUCAACCCAAACAGGCCCUGCUAUGGUGAUGCAUGUCAGCGAUGACGGAUGUGGAGGUGACCUAUGAGGACUUCAUCUCCUCUCGGCGGUCCGGCCGCAGGAACGCCAUUCACGAUAUCCCAGCAGCCACCGGAGCAGAGGGAGCCGCUGACCUGUCACAGAGUCUGGCACAGCUCAACCUCGACAAGUCAGGGGAUGAGGAAGAAAACACUGCUAAAGAAGAGGAGACUCAAGCGGAGGGCAGCUAAACUGACAUGUGUGGACUCAAACAACCGCUUCUUCUUGUCUCCCUGAUACCUGAAUGCCAUUCUCACUCACAGGCCAUUUGCACCGAAUGGCUGUGAACAGACACGGCAAAUCCUUUACUCCCGCCACCAGGACGUCAUUGCCAUGGCGACCACAGCGGAGUUCCCCUUUUGCACUUGGGUGUGUUUCGAUGUCCUUAAAAUGCCUUUCCGUAAUGGCUGCUGAUGUGAUAUGAGAUGGGAUGCAUGAACGCAGCAUGACUUCAAAAACAAAAGUCACUGUCACAGUCCUCGGAGGAAAGGUAGAGAAGAGGAAAGAGGCCAUUCAAGGUUUUUUGGGGCAGGCAAUAUUGUUUCCACUGAAUUAGAAAGUUGUCUUCCCUCCCCUCAUCGCCAGUGAUGUGGCUGAAACACUUCCAGGGAACCGAGGACAGUGUUCGGACAUGUACUCUUCCUCUGCUCUCCUUGCAUCUGCAUCUGCACACGUGUGCUCCCACUAUCAGUUCUCACUGUUGACUGUUCCCAAACUUCCUAAAUUAUUUUCUUGUUUAUUUGGGGCAGUCCUAGCCAUAUCAAUCUAUUGGAUGUGGUUGAAUUUGUUAUGUCACAAUGACGCUUCAGUGUUUUCCAAACUGAACAUCCCAAGUGAGGGUGGUAUUGGUGUUUUGUAUAUAAUGCAACAGUUGAGCACUUUUAGUUAAACAUUGAUUGGUCAGACAAGGCCUGUCAAAUUCAGGAUAAUCACAGCACAGCGUUUCGUCAGUAACACUAUUGAUCCGCUCUUUCAUUCUGUCAACACGUUUAAGACUAAAAUCGAAGCAAAAGGACAUGAACAGGCUAUGAACUCUUGAACUAAGUUCUGUUUCACUGGCUAGCCCUCUUGUUUUUGGCUUUGCUCUUCCACUCUGACCCGUGACCUAUUUAUUUUCCACCCUGAAUGAAACAUUAAAAAAAACAUUCAAAUUC